GACGAACGCUGGCGGCGUGCCUAAUACAUGCAAGUAGAACGCUGAAGAGAGGAGCUUGCUCUUCUUGGAUGAGUUGCGAACGGGUGAGUAACGCGUAGGUAACCUGCCUUGUAGCGGGGGAUAACUAUUGGAAACGAUAGCUAAUACCGCAUAACAAUGGAUGACCCAUGUCAUUUAUUUGAAAGGGGCAAAUGCUCCACUACAAGAUGGACCUGCGUUGUAUUAGCUAGUAGGUGAGGUAACGGCGCACCUAGGCGACGAUACAUAGCCGACCUGAGAGGGUGAUCGGCCACACUGGGACUGAGACACGGCCCAGACUCCUACGGGAGGCAGCAGUAGGGAAUCUUCGGCAAUGGGGGCAACCCUGACCGAGCAACGCCGCGUGAGCGAAGAAGGUUUUCGGAUCGUAAAGCUCUGUUGUAAGUCAAGAACGAGUGUGAGAGUGGAAAGUUCACACUGUGACGGUAGCUUACCAGAAAGGGACGGCUAACUACGUG
RNAcentral lists this ribosomal RNA (497 nucleotides) under uncultured bacterium. RNAcentral's name for it is "partial 16S ribosomal RNA". It matches the Rfam family "Bacterial small subunit ribosomal RNA", at positions 28 to 507 of the family's 1533-position model. The record is from RNAcentral.